AUACAUAGGGGGCGAGCGUUAUCCGGAUUUAUUGGGCGUAAAGGGUGCGUAGGCGGUAAAUUAAGUCUAAGGUUAAAGUGCAGGGCUCAACCCUGUGAUGCCUUAGAAACUGGUUUACUUGAGUUUGGUAGAGGUAAGUGGAACUCCAUGUGUAGCGGUAAAAUACGUAAAUAUAUGGAAGAACACCAGUGGCGAAGGGGGCUUACUGGGCCACAACUGACGCUGAGGCACGAAAGCGUGGGGAGCAAACAGGAUUAGAUACCCUGGUAGUCCACGCUGUAAACGAUGAAUACUAAGUGUUGGAAAAAUCCAGUUCUGAAGUUAACGCAUUAAGUAUUCCGCCUGAGUAGUACGUACGCAAGUAUGAAACUCAAAGGAAUUGACGGGG
Molecule: ribosomal RNA, 388 nt
Filed under: uncultured bacterium
Lineage: Bacteria
Description: partial 16S ribosomal RNA
Rfam family: Bacterial small subunit ribosomal RNA
Source: RNAcentral